RNAcentral lists this long non-coding RNA (354 nucleotides) under Rattus norvegicus (Norway rat). RNAcentral's name for it is "long non-coding RNA NONRATT003886". Lineage: Eukaryota; Metazoa; Chordata; Mammalia; Rodentia; Muridae. The record is from RNAcentral.
AGGUAGACAUCAUCUGUGGGGAUCACUUACUGGAGCGGUACCAAACUCUGCGGGAAAUCCGACGUGCAAUAGGUGACACAGCAAUGCAGGAUGGUCUACUUGUUCUUCAUUAUGGUCUUGUGGUUUCUCCUUUAAAAAUAACUUGAAAAUCCAAGAGUAUAUUGGAGGCUUCUGCAGAUGUGCAUCACACCAAAGAUUCUCCCAGAGCAUGUAACCACCACCACUUACGCUGUUAAGAGCUAGCUUCUGUUCUUAGCACCAGAACCCUAGCAAUGUGUACAACUUGAAACAAUAGAAUGUAUUUGCUACACUAAAGACUAUGUAAAAAACAUUCAUAACUCAGGGGAAAAAACU